Molecule: long non-coding RNA, 17831 nt
Organism: Numida meleagris (helmeted guineafowl)
Lineage: Eukaryota; Metazoa; Chordata; Aves; Galliformes; Numididae
Exons: 5
Source: RefSeq, a predicted model, not a curated record
AAGAAAAGAACAGCAUUCUCACCUCUAGGAUAAUUUCUGCCAGCAUUUUAAUAAAUAAGAAAACUCUGUAUUUUAAUCAAUGGUACACCAAUUCUUGCCCAGACUAGUUCUAGCUUUUAUUCAAAUUGUAUCCUCUAGUUUCUCAGGGUCUAGAAGGCAGUUAUAAUUCUCAGCACUUUGACUCUUAAUGUUUAAGAAACAGCAGUUGGCUUGAUGUCUGACUUCUCCAUCAAAUGUGCCUGCAGACAGUAUUUUGUUGUGCUCCGCUGUAGGUCCCCCACUGCUGUUUGCUGAGAAGGGCUAGCAGCCAGCCCCGAGGGAUCGUAAUAAUUCAUUUUUGUUUGAAACUACUGACACUGCAGAGAAGGAGCGGGAAUGGUUGGAAAGGAAGGAACUAUUGAAAACUACGGUCACUGCGUCUCUUGAAGAUUAAGUUUCACUUGCACUACAAAAAAAGAAAAGCAAAACACUCCAAAUCAAGUCCACUGUUAAUAAAAACACAACUGAUUCCACAAGAAUUUUCCCGAUUAUUGAGAAUUUUUUCCUCAUUUUGCAAAACCACGCACCACCCAGUUAUCACCAGUAGACACCCAACACACCCACUACUCUGCCAGUGAAGCACCUUUAUUCUGACUGCACUGUAACAUUUGAUUUAUAAUUGUGCAUUUCUGUCAGUUUUUAAAACUGCUUUUUUCUCAAAUUUGCACAGAUGCCAAGUCCACUUCAGGAGCACAGGAUGGCAGCUGUUAGCAUACAACCAAAGCUCUGAUCCCACGGAUGUAAAAUUAAUUCCAUGCUUGAUGGUUCCUGUCUCCACCAACUCCAGAAGGGCUGAGGCAUUUCCUCUCAAGACAGCAGCUACUCCUUGUGCAAGAGGAACCAAACCUUUCCAUCUAUCAGAUUUAUCUUUAUUCUCUAGAAAGAGGAAGGAAGGGCUGCUGACCUUUACUUGAGAAUAUUAAUUCCAGUCUACCUUUAUCUAAAGCAUGGGAGGAAGGAAAAGUCAAGAUCAGAGGCCAGGACUGUCUCCAGGGAACCAAACCUUGAGGACAAACAGGAAUUCUCACACAGUUGCCAGCUGUCAGAAUAAGACAACCAGACACACAGAAGAGCUCAGCUGCCUGAGAUGAUUUCUGCUGUCCUUGGAUAUUAGUCCCAGUUGAACACCUCCACAAAAAAACAAGGUAAAGAGUACACGUACAGACUUUGCAGUCUUCAGAGAGGGUGGAGAGGAAGGAGAGAGAGAAAAAAAAAAACUGUAAGUAGUAGAAGGUUGAGGAUGAGAAAAGCUGCUUCUCACAGCAAUGUCAAACCAAUGUGCUGCACAACCAAGAGUUUAGACCAACUACAAAGGACAAGUCACAAGCUGGAAGCAAAAGGACAAGAGAUGCCCUUGGAACCACUGCAGAUAGUUCACAGUUUCUCAAGUGAAUCUCGGAAUCCAUGAAGUUGGUACUGUGGAAUUACUUUUUAUUUAUACUCACCCAGAACACUCCACAAUCUUUCAGAGUUAUCACAUAGUGUUAGUUGCCUCAGUAUGAAAAAACAAGACUUUACUUCAACCAAAUUCUUGCAUAAUACAUUAUCACCAUUAAACCUUAAAAUCAGUGAGCUCAUUUGAUAGGGAGGAAAAAAAAUAUAUAUACACAAUAAAGGUUCUCUGGUGUUUGAGUGCCCCUUUUUCUGCAAGGUGUACUAAGAGAUACAGUGACUUUCAAGGUACAUACAUCAAUAUCACUCCUUUCUCACUGCUUGUUCAUUAGUAUAGGUACACUGUUCAUUUUUAUGGCCAUUAGUCACUGAUUUUUUUUAAGGUUUUACUACUUCUUUAAGAAAGGUUUAGUUCUGUGUGUGGUUUGGUUUUGCAUUGUUUUAAAUCAUGAAGUUACAUAUUCUCUAACCCUCCUGCAAGAUUAUGCAAAGAUUUUCAAGCAUUUGCUAGAUUGUUAAGUAUUUAAAUUCAUUUAUACAGUUCUUAGAAAGCAGCCCAGAUUAACACACCAAUUACAUAAUGUACACUGAAAAUUAAAGUUCAGCACUUCACUGGAAGUUCAGUAUAUAAAUCCAGAAAGCCUGGCUUGUUUAGAAAGCUCAGUAUUCUGUACAGAAAAAAUCCCACAACACAACAAAAACAAUCUUUUAAAAUAUUUUUAUAAUAUUUUUAAAAUAUUUGAGAUUUUCUUAAAUUUGGGGACUGUGCUAGAGCAAGUUAAGGACAGAAGACUUCAAGUAAAAGCCAACUAGACUGGUUUGCAGUCAAUGCUACUACUAACAGUUGGCAUCCACACAUGAACUUCCAACGUUUUUUAAUUUAUUGUUUUCCAUAUAAUUUCCUUUGUGAAAUUCUACUAUUAAACUGAGACUAAAAGCCUCCUAACAACUAUCUAACAGCAGCCAGUUGACAUUACAUCUCUCAGUAACCAUUCUUAUUUACUAAAAUAUAGUAGAAGGCAAGAGAUGGUUUAAAUCUGCAUGUUUUAUCCCAAACUUCUUUGCUAGAAGGAUAAACAGGCAUUUGAUCAAGCUACCAGACUGGCUAAUUUUGCUUCAGAAAAACUAGAAAAGGUACCGAAAUAAAGACAGAAAGGCAGUGAGGAUUCUCAUUCUCUGUAUGCACAAACCAACCACAAGCUUCAUCACCAUUAUGGGAAUUACCCAUUCCCAUUCAGAUUUAAAUUUCAUCUUUAGAAAAAACAAGAAAGUUUUAUUAUUUGAAGUCAUUUCAAGUGAUAUCUAAAAUAUCACCCAUCCUUUGUUAAUAUCAGAAGUUUCAUGCUGAGCAGAAAUCAGUAUGAAGAAAGUGAAUCAGUUCAGCCUGACUUCCUGUAAACUGAUUUCAGUACAUCGAAACAAGUACAUUUAAAAUUUUGAAGCACAAGAUGGUUCCUGUAAAUGAACAUGAGCACAGUUCCAUUUCAUAACUUACCAUCCUCUCCCCUUACACAGAAAGGGCAUGUGAUUUGAUCUAUAUAGCUAUAAGGCAUGUGUUCUGCAGGAACAAAAACUUGCCAGAAGUUAUACUCUGAAUUCCUGUCAGCUGUACAACAACUUUAGUGAGCAAUGAAAAUCAUUACCAGACCUUCUAUGAAGCUGUCUUUUCCUACCUCCUCCAGUUGUCCAUUCUGACAAACUUUUUUCUUAAUUUUGAUAAAUACAACAAAAGGUUACCUGUGGGUUUGUGUGCUGUUGGGUUGGGGUCUUUUUUAUGACUGCUUUUAAUCAUGUCUUUCCUACUGAAGCUACCUGGCUGGCUUCCUUUCAUAUAAGUAAGACUAUACAAUUCACUCAUAUAUUUAGAAAAAAGACAAUUAUGUGAUGCUUAAUUGAAUUCCUGUUUCAGAAUUUAAACUCAGCCUGGCAUCUGAAUGACGACAAUGAAAUAUUUGGGAUCUAAUUUGCAUAAUGUAAGAAGAUCCAGUUCCAUGACUAUCACCCUGACAGCCUUCACCAAGCAACAAACUCAGUGUGUCUUGCCAGCUGAAAGCUGAACAAGCUUUUACUCUUUUCCUUAUCUCCCACUUUUGACCCCAAUGAAUACGUUAGCUCAAGACUUUUGGUUCUGAACACAUGUGGGCACACUGCCCACUAACUACGUUUUUUGAAUGCUGGGCAUUUUUAUUAUUAACAAACAACUUCAAAGGCUUCUAAGGUACUAGUACUGCAUGUAGUUCCGAAAGUAAUGCCUCCUGUUUACUUCCAUGGAAACUCCAACAGAUGCAAAGAGCACAAUAUCACUGUUUAAUAGAUAAAGUUCUCAGCUACAAAACACUAUUUUUCAACAGUCAUCACCAUUAGCUGUGCAUUUUCAUCAGCAAUGAACAAAGAGCCUGCAUGCUGCACUCGUAAACAUCUGCACCAGCAGAGGUGACCACUGUCACCAUGGCCGAAACGCACCACCCACGCCUCCCUGUGCCAACAUCCACUGCUUGGUCUCCAUAAACAUCCAGCAAGUGUCAAGGAAUGUCAAUGGGAAUGCCAGUUUUCCCAUUGUGGGGGUCACUAUGCUUAUCUCGUGAGAUGUAAGCAAACUCCUACAAGAUUAAAGGACCCAGAGCACCUACACAAAGAUUGUUCUCUGUGGUCUUGAUGAGUAAUAUCACACUUGCCAAGUUUCAAAGUAAGGAGCCCCACAUAUUUGAGGAGCUGAAGUUUAUGUAAGCCUUGAUUAAGUUGUUACUGUGUUGUUUUUUUUUUUUCUCCAGAGACUUCACUUUAUAUUAAAAUAUAUACUUCACAUUCACUGAGCUACAAACGAAACUGAUCUGUGGUAUUUGUGUCCUUUCACCUUUUCCUGGAAAGUAUGUUGACUAAAAGCCAAACAAACAGCACAGCACAUCAACUGCUUCAUAGACAAACACUGCAGUCAUUUUGCUCAGGACAAAUAUUUUUAAAGAAACAAAAGGAAAUUGUAAAUGUUUGAUCAAAAAAAAGAAAAAGAAGGAAAUAUCAACAUUUGUGCAUUCAUCUUAUUAGCAGUUUAUACUUUCUUUGUGAAAACGUUUUUAAUAAAAAAUUUAAUUUUUAAUAAAAUACCAACCACAAAUAAGCUGUGAACACUGCCUCACUAUCGUUCCCUCUUCUCCUUAAUUGAAACUGAUCAAGUGGUAUCCAUGAAGCGUGAAGGAUUUAAGCUAGGAGCAAGGUGAACAAAUGGAUUUAAUGGACUCAUCCACAAAAAUGACAAGAUCUACAAGUGACUACAAAAUAAAGAUCUUAGGAACAUUCGGGAUGCGGGUAAAAUUGUUAUCUACUACAAAGUCAUUACCUCUUUUAAAUUCAACAGUUUGCUUAUCCAAUAGAAGAAAAAAAUAUUUGCCAGGCUCUUGGGAUUGUUAUAGUUCUAAUUUUCAAGGCAAGCCUAGCAAGUCAGAGAAGGAAAAGUUUUCUUAAAUAGUCUCUCAGUGGUAAAGAGAAGAAAUACAGAGCUUUCGCUUUUGGAGAGUUUGACUUCACACCCAUGCAUUUAGUUAGCACUGGAACAGUUCCCUGGAGGGUAUCUGAUUCCUUGAAUAAGAUCACAAUGACUUUUAACCAUGGAUUCAGCAACUAGAAACAUAUUUUUUUCCAGUUUUCAGCUUGUUCUGCUGCACUCCCUUCUUUUCCAAAUGGAUGAUGAGGUUCAAAUAGACAAAAAGCUAUUCCAAUUCUCUUGAAUGGUGCCAUAUCUACAUGAAAGUGGUGCUUCAGAUGCUAGUAAUGAAGGCCAAGAACAGUUUACAAAUAGUACUUGAUAACAGGAAAUAAGAUCAUUUCAGCAUUUUUGGUGGUCAGGUGCCCAAAACAAAUAUUGAAAGGUAAGUGGAAUUAGAGAUGGCUACAUGAAGACUCUUUAAUUAAAAGCAAAACGUGGUCCAUUUUCAGAGAGAAGAAAUACUAAACGUAAAGAGGUCUUAGAGCACGAGAUGCGUCUGAAAACAGAAAAGCUGAAUUUUUACAAGAGCUCCAGAGUUCUGAUCCUAUAUACUUAUCAAACUAUUUAUAAAUACAACAAUGUAACUUUGACCUUACAAUAUCUCCUAGAAAGCAGCCAAUGAAAGAAGUAAUAGGAAAAGCAGGAAAGUUCAUCCACUCUAUGACUUCCCACCAAUUCACUUUUCCUAUGCUGUUAACAUAGCAUUAGAAUUUGCAUGCAAAGAGAAAAAGGGGCUGUGGAAGAACACACUCUGCAAGUUCAUUAGAGACUUAAAGCUACAAAAAUAUCCAUUUAGGACUUAAAAAGGAAAACGUUUCUUCACAUCACUGCUAUUGUUCUUCAAAUGUUCUAAUGUUAAGUUUGCUGUUGUUGCCAACAUUACAUUCCAAAAUAACCAUUUAAGUCAACUUGAACUGCUGCAACAUUAAAAGGUUUCAGUGAGCAAGAAAACACCUUUCAGCUAGAGUAAAGAUUUUGAUCUACCUGAUCUCUACCAAACAGCCAUUAUUGUGGCUGCAUCUUCCCUCAAGAACUGCAAAGACACCAGUUAAGGAAGUCACCCACUGAAAACCAUUAGAAGACACUUCUUGGUUGCUAUUAUGGAUGCUCCUUGCAUUCUCCAAGCACAUUAGUUUUGAUCUGCAGUGCUCUAACUCAUUUGGCUUUUAACUUCAGAACCAGCAAUUCUCACUACCAUUUUAGGAAUCCAGCUACUACACUGUAAUGCUCUUUGGUUAACAGCUGUGUAGGAACAACUAUACACUUUUCCUUUCAGAAGGGAGGAUAUCUCUCUGAGCAAUUUUUCUAGCUCCUGUAGAAUGCUUUUGUCUUCCCCGGUCCCCAGAGACAAGGGGAGAAAGUUUUAUAUUACCUCCCCUCCCCCUUUACGAGUUUAUAAAAAUAAAAACAAAAAACUGUGACUGGAAGCGGAGAUCACUGAGCACCGUUGGAGCCAGGCCUGGAAAUCAUGCAUUUCCUUUACGUUUCUGGAGAGAAAGUAUUUCAAAAUAGAAAAGUACAUCUACAUUAACUGUCAAUAUCUACAUUAAGUGUCAAUGGCCUCUUUUCCAUCAUGACACAAAAUCAGAAACAAAAAGAAUAAGAACAAUUUUCUGGAGUUUUUCUAGUUUUUAUUUUCUUGAUUUGAGUUGGUCUGGACGUCUCUUACCAUCAUGAAAAACAGAAGUGAAAAAUAUAAAGCUCACGUAAACAGAAUUAAUUUUAAACCAUCAUUUUCGACAUCCAGCACUGACUAAACUCAGAUCUUACCUGUUGCAAUUUAGAAGAGAUACAGUAAGUAAGCUACUGGUGUUAACAGAAUUAAAAGGGAAUUAAAACAGUUUUUUUAAAAACUGAAUUCUUAUCUGGAGUAAAAGUAGCUAUGCAUGUUUUCAUAAACCACAGUCAGCUAAAGUGGUUUUAGACACCAGCAUGCCAUACGCUACAUUAAAAUUAGACUGAUAUAAAAUUAAAGAAAAAAGGCAAUGUAUUCGUACAUGAAGUACUUCCGUUCAUUACACGUAUGUUCUGAGGAAUAGAUUUUGCUCAUCUAAUGAUCUUUGCAGAAAGUACCAAAGGAAGCAUAUAGGCAAAAAAGGAAAUAGUUUAGAAUUUAAUUUCAAAGUUGGUCUUGUCACUAACUCAUAGAAUUGUAAGCACUUAAUACGAUGUGACUUAUAUCAGUACUUUCCAAACUCGUGUACUACUGCAGUUAUUUCUUGAAGUACAAACAGGUAAAUUACAAUGGGUUUUUUUGUUGUUGUUUGUUGUUUUGUUUUUUUUUUUAAACAAGAUCUGUAUGUUGGUUAUACCUCAAGGAUCAACAGAAAAGCAUUUUUUGAUGCAAACAAUAGCAUGGAAGAAAUUCUUGGAGAAAGGGAACUCUCUUGGAGGGGGAGAAAGGGAGGAAUAUGUACACUAGGGAGACUAUCUGUAAUGAACUUACAGAAAACAACAAUUAUUUCACUCCAGGGAUCCUGCCUUUUCCUCUGAGGAAGCUUUCAGUCCAAACUCACGCAAGUCUUAGACGUGAUUACAGUGUACCACAGCCCCGAUGCUUCUUGAAGAGCUUUGUUUUGUCUGUGUAUCACACUGUUCGUUCUGAGCUAAAAAGUAACAUACUGUUUGCACUAAAAAUGUUGACUGUACUUUGUUAAUCAGUGGGAUAAAUAUACAUUAAUAUAAUUUUUGAAGGUAAUAACAUAGGUACUAUUGAGAACCAGAAACAUUAGAAACUGGCUAAAAAUAGUAAUUUGAAUUCCUAGGUUAGUCAGCUUGGCGGAAACAGUUGUGUUCACCGUCCUUUCACCCUCUAAUUAGUUUGCAUAUUGUAAGAGUUUCAAAGGUUAUUUCUCUCUUAGAAACCUACCAAAUUAGCCUUCACAGCACAAUACUGUUACCAUAUUAAAUGCAACAGCAACAGAUUAUUCAGACUGUAGAGACUUACCACUAUUUUUUCUGUAAUGUUUCAUUUAUAUAGGCAUAUAUUCUUAUUUGAUAGGGUAAAGACAAUCUCCUCUCUAUCUGGAACAUUCAGAAGAGCCUGUCUCAAAAGGAAAAGGUCCAGUUCAUAGCUGCUCACUUAUAAAAUCCUUGUUUAAAGAGCUCUGAAAUCUAAUUUCAGUAAUCACUGCACAGAAGUGUAGCUCCUAUAUCUACUUAGCAGCAAUAACAUGAAAUCAGUAAGACUUGAAAAUACUUCUUAAGCACAAUACACCAGAACUGACAUGAAGUUUUAUUGUGAGCCCUCUGUGUUUUAGGGAUAGAGAACAGAAUGUUUGUAUCUUGGAGACUUUUGCAUUCAGAUGAUGGAAGAAAUGGUUUAGAAAUCGAAGCUAUUUUUUUAGCCAAACUGUACUUGUAAUAUUACUGUACCUUGUCUAUCCAGCCCAAGUUACUGCUAAGUAAUACUCUGAUCACAUUGCAUUGCAAAGGUGAGAUUUUCAAAAUGCCGAGCCUCUCUCCAAAGUAAACAGUCAAAAUAUCACUGAACUAACUUGGUAAAAGCAGUGGUAGGCCAAUGUUGAGUAUGCUUGAAUAUCAAUUAAUUGCCAUAUUGUCAAAGAUGUCACAAUUAAAACAUAGGAGGCUCUACACCUACCAGAUUCUUGGCAGAAAUAGGCAGAUCACUGACAAAUAAUGAGAGAUGAAGAACAUGCAUUAUCACAGCGAGUUUAAAAUAAGCAUUUACAAAUAAGCUGUAUCUAAGCCAUCACAUUUCUAAAUUGUGUAUAUAUUAAGUCUGUUAUUUACUUCUAUUGGUGAAGGCAAAUUUUUAAAUUUACUUUUCCUUACAGAGAACUAUGAAAAACAACUGUAACAAAAAAUGGGUCAAACCUUUAGAAGGACAAAGAAAUACCAAUAAAUGUUUAAUACGCAAAAGAAAGGACUUAAUUCUAAUUCAAGGAAACCUUGUUCACUGCUUUGAAACACUAAGUAACUGCAGUCAGAGUUAAAAGCAAUAUUUUUUUCCUCUCAUGGUUGAGAUCUCACAUGGCAUAAAUCAUUCCAUUCACAUUGAGUACUAUGAACAUCUACAAAUCUAUAUAAUACUAAUAUAUUUACAAAAUUUCAGGGAAUAAAGUCUCACCAUGAACAUGGCAUGGUAAACAUUCAGAUCACUUCACUAUUAUUUUUAUGUUUAGAAUACUGUCAGACAAUGGCUGUAUUUCCAAACUUUCUACUAGUUCCAUGAAAUUUCUCAAAAGUUAUGAGCUCAUAAGUAAAGGAAGCACUAAAACACACAAGAAAGGAAGUGGCAGGAAUCGUUAAAAAGGAAGUUGUGAACUCUACAUUACCUAUUUAAAAAAAAGAAGAAGAAAAAUAUAACUACAUCUUAUUUAAUGAUAAACUUCAUUUCCUUGAAGACGUUUUUAUGUUGUUUUACUGGCUUUCUUGAGAUGCACGCUGCCCAAAUAGGUAUUUGGGAACUCUGAGUAGCUGUACUGGUUAACAAUCACUUGCAGGAAGAAGUUACAAGUGUCCCCUUCCUAAACUAAUUUCAAGGAAGACUUUUGGUCUGAUAUUUGAAGACAUUCUGCAUUACAAAUUUGGAUGAACAACUUGUUUCAUUUGGGAUCUGCUUAACAUUUCUGUUGCUGUUAUCAUCACAGAUGCCCACUUCACUGUACUUAUAAUAUUCAAAUUUGGAAAGGAAAAUUUCAAUGAUGAUUAAAAGCAUACUGAAAUCACCGAAUAGCGCAGUCUACAAGUUGCCAAGCUACUGCAGCGCACACAAAAACCUGCUGAGAACAAACAGUACUGCUGAAAUCAGAUGUUAGAUAAAACAGAAUUAGGAUACUCUCGUUUUCUCACAAGCUGUCUAAUAUGUGCUUAGGACUAAGAAAGAGCUAAACUAGUUUUACUUUACAGCUUACAGCUUUCUAAACCUGAGACAACCAGCUCACUGGACCGAACGGACCUAUGGACUGAAUGCAGCUUUUGGAAUGAGCCAAAUAUUGAUGCCAUCUCCCGUCCUCACAAACACAAGUUUAUACAUUUGUUUACCUGACUAUAUGGCUGCCAGGUCACGUAAGGGCCAGACAGAUCACGUGCCACGUGCACAAGACCAGGGGUCGGUAUCAGGGACAGAACAGACUGUACAGCCUUCACCUGGCUCCAGGGCAGAAUGGCUGGGCACCUCUGCUCUACGUAGAGGUUCAGCGGAAGAAGCUGCACUUAGAGUUGACUGUUUACACAACUAUUUCCAGAGUAGUAAACUGUUCUAAGAAAAAAAAAGAGAAAAAUCAAUACCUUUUUUUGAAAGAGAAGCUUAACCCUUGAAUGCUGACAGCAGAGAUGUUACAUUCAGUGAACUCACACUCAGAGGAGGUAUCUAGAUUGAAACUGGAUCUUGGAGCACCUUGCUUUGCUAGCCGCCCUUCAAGCACAAAAGUGUACAUUAAGUUUUUAGUUACAGUGGAUACUGAUAUUGCUUUUUACUCAAAAUAAGCCUAGCUUCCAAUGCAUGUUAGCAAUUGGUUCUCACAAAGGAAGGGUGAAUAAAACUAUGUCUCCAGAAUAAAGAAAAUCUGUAGACAAAAAGCCUGAUAAAUUCCUGUGGAAAGAUAGAAUCCUUCUAUUAAUUCAAAGCAAGGCACACCUUUAAUACUAAAACUCAUUCUGUAUCUUAUGUAUCUCCUUAUUUCUCUAUGCUGCAAAGCAAUACUUUAAGACAAUGACAGAACCAAUACUGCAUUACUAAUGACUGCUUUAAUCACCACUGCAGUGUGAGAGCUUUCACCUCCAGCCAGGCAGGUUGUCUUCUCCUCAUCUGAAGGCAACUGAGAGCUUAAAACAGCAUCAGUGUUAAACAGGCACUCCACACAAUCAAGAUGAACCUCCACAGAGAUGAUAAUGCAGGAAGGAUUAGCACUCCACACUCCAGUACAUGAAAGAGUCUGCAGAACAAGACAAGCUGGGACUUCAAAGAACUAUUUCAUAUUCCCCAUACUAAUGAAACAGAUUCAUCAGUGAAUGCAAGUUGCAUGGAUCAGACAAGAUGAACAACAUUUUGCCACUUCAUUUGUCUACUGUUACUGCAAGUUUAGAAUAAUUCACUCAGGGAACACCAAAUCAUUCAGCAAAGCCACACAACUAUCACAGCUGCCACCUCUACCAUUACAGCAUCCUCUCUGGAAAUGCACAACUCUUAUGACUUCCUUUGCUCCUCUCUCACAGGCCAGAUCUCUGUGCUGUACCCAGCUCACCGCGCCCACAGCCCAACCAGACUCCUGCUCCUAACCCUGCACCUCCUGUAAGCCAUUGGCAGCUUUGUAAUUUGGUGGCUAUCUCAAACUCCUGUUUGCAUUCUUAGCACAUAUCUGGAACACUAACAGAACGAAAAAAAAAAAAACAAAAAAACUUUCAAACAUCUUAAAAAAAAAAAAAAACCUCAAACUUUACCCCAUUAAAUCCUUUUCUGCCCCCAGCCCCCACCAAAAGACCAUUAUCUAAAGGUUUCUGAGCAUUGAUUCACAAAUAAAGGUUAUCAACUAUUAGGAUCACACCCAAGUACGUCCUAUUGCAUCCACAGUGCUGUGGGCAGGCAUUUUUACAACAAUGGAUUAUUUUUCUUAAACUAUUCAGAGACAGAAAUUUGCACAAAUAGAUGCUUUUAUUUGGAGAACACACUGUUAGAAAAUACUUUAGUGUAAAGAAACCCUUGAGGUCUUCUGUUGGUUUACUUUCUUAAAGUUCUAACAUAUACAUUUAUUAUUACUGUAAAAUAAUAUUUGAGUGCUUGCUCCGAACUAGUAGCAAUAGUUAAGUAAUUCAGCUACCCUUAAAAAUAAUAAGCACAUAACAGUAAGCACAUAAUAGUUUUGUCACCCCAAAGCCCAACUUCACAUGGCAGAGAACGUAGUAAACAGCAAAUCACGAGGAAUUUCCUGCUGUCAGUCAGCCACAGAAAAGCAGCCUGUACACUAGGUUGCAUGGUAAGGCAAUCAAGUACAGCUCAGCAGAACGGACUCAGUUCCAAACUGAGGCUCUGAAUGGUAAACCUGACACAAAUUAUGUCAUCUUUGUCAUUAGCUUCUUGUUUAUCAGUUAGUAAUAGCCGUAAAAUCCUUCUGCUCUGCCUGCUUCUUGACAAGCUUUAAAAAGCCUGUUGUAAGAUUAGACCUCUACACUAAUGCUCUGAUGUUGGCUAAUAAAUCCAGCAACUUAGCAGCUGGAAAGAUUUUACAUAUUUUCAACCUCCUGUUUCAAUCUUUCAUCACUGAAAACAAGACGACUUUGAGGGACACAGUGAGCAACCAUGCUCCAGAACCCAGGGGUAAAACCUGAACACCAAGCUUGUUUCCAGCGAGAACAAGCAACAUCACUUCAAAUGACCUAAGGCAAUGGGGCUUAAGGGAAAUUAUUGAUCAGCUGUCUAUGGAGUAUUGCUUGCUGCCAAAUGAAACAACCAACCUCCUCAACUCAAUAUCAUAUUUCUCAGUACAUUACUGAUUUAAUGACACCUAAUGUAAUAUGCAAGGAUAAAAGGAUGGGGUUGUUUGUUUGCAACAUGCAUCGUCCUUCAGUAUUUACGAGUUUUGAAAGACCAGAAGGGCAGAACUGCUCUUGUCAUGGAAACUUUGGGCCAACUAUGAGAAGAUACCAAAGCUGAGAAUGAAAAUAUAGUACAAGUUGAAGCAAGAUUCCCCCUCGUCGUGCUGCAGAUAUUACUGGCAUAGCUCCCGGUGGGCAACUGCAACAUAAGGUGAACACAGUCCUUGCCAGAAGUGUAAAAAAAAAAUGACAAUUAUCAUUUACCAAUUUAAUUAAACUGUAGAAGUAUUACACAUAAACAUUAUCUGGCAUUGGGCGGCCAUCCACUCUGUCAUUUCUUGCUGGUUAAAACUCUCAUUUUUUCUUUUAUUUCUGGAAAUAUUAAAAAAAAAUUAUCCAGAAUGUCUGGAUAUGGAUUUUGGCUGUUAAUAAGCUAUGUAGCAUUUUUUUUUUUGGUUCUCGGUUCUUGCUCCAAUGAUCUACCCUCUCUCUCUUUCCCUUACUGAAGUCCCAUUUGCUAAAUCCUCUUGCUCAUGUCAGUUCUUUUUUUCCAGCAGCCCAUGUGUCACAGCCAUUCACACCUGCACAGAGCAGAGCAGGGCUGUCCCAUCCUGCAGGAGAGCAGCAGAGGCUUGGUCCUACUUCAAGCAGCUGCAGUGACUGCACAGAAGACACUGGGAAAAGAGUAGCAGCAUAAUGGAAUCAAGAUUUGAACUGUGAUACCACAGCAUCCACAACAGCCCAUUGGUGAGACAACUACAGUUUCCGAUGGUGGGAAAAGGCACAGAUGGUGAAGGCACGCAGCACACUUCUUCCUGUUCUUUCCACUGGAGUACACUGCAGCGAAAAGAAGCAACUAAGUACUACUUCAAGGUUUGAAUCCCAGUGCAGAACAACUAAAAUGUCCAACGUACAAUGAAGAUCAGCAAACAAAAAAUGAAGUUUCAGUCCCUGACAAUGAGAAACAGGCUCUGAAACAAGCCCUUAAUGUAGGUAUUGGUAUGCCAAUUAAGUAAAUUCAAAAUACACCUCCAUGAGAUUAAUGCUGAAUUCAGCAAAAAGCUUUUUUAGUCUGCUUUCUUUCAUUAAAUAUAUGCCCAACGAGAAAGCAGAAUGUCCAAAUAUUUUUUCACUCCAGAGGUUAACGAAACAGCAACUAUGAUACAUGUUCAGUAUCACACCAAUCAACAAGGACAGGUAGGAGACAGCAAGAGAGUGCGAGUGAAAAGCAACAGCCACUAGGAAAAAUAAAGACCAAAGCGCACAGCAUUAGGGAGGAAACCCAUCUGACAUAGUGCUGAUGUUAAGUAAGAGUGCUGAUGUUAAGUAAAAGAUACAGACAGGCUCUAGCCACAAUGGUUGAAAAUUCAGACCUGUCAAGUAAGCUGGCUGUACUGAUGCUCUUCCACAACCAGAUGCCCUAGAUACCCAUCUUGUUACUCCACUGUUUAUGACUGCAAAGACAAUAACUUACAGAAAUAAUGUGUUCAGCAGUCCAUUUUCUGGGACAAAGUGUGGAGCAAGGCAAAAGCAUAUGGGAACGGAACCUACAGGACCAGUAUCAAGUGGGAAAAAAGUGAAUUUUAAAAAUUCCCAAACUUUCCUACUAUGCUGACUCUUUUACCUUCUGACCACGGACAACAGAUUUUUCAUUGCUGUCCCAUGGAAGAAAAUGAACUGGUGUUUGUAUGACGUGAUCUACAAAGUGAACACACAAAGGCAUUUCGAUGCUGUAUCACAGUGCCCCUCCCAGCCAAACCAGCAAGGGCAUGUCUACUGGCACCAGACAGAUAACAAAAAAAUGUUUCUUGUACAAAUCAACAAGAGACAUGGUGGCCAAUGACUUAAAAAAAAAAACUCAAUGUUAAGCACUGUACGCAUCAAAGCUGACGGAUCAGAUCAAGUUCAUAAUAUUACUUCCAAACAUCACAGAGAACCUGUUUCUUCAUUUUAUUUUCAUAAACUUGUUCCCUUCAGGAAAAAAAGCACACAUCAUGUGCUUCAACAGGUCUGGAUGCACAACACACUUUUACAGAAGGACAGACACAAAAACUGCAGUUUAGUAUUUUAAAAACUAUUUUUAAAAUUUAUGUAGUUCUGUAAAAUGUCUAACAUCGCCAGCACUUCCAGUUCAGUGUUUGAAUUCUGUAGAAAACCUCAGGUGAAGCUCUAGUUGUUAGUCUUUGAUCUCACUUCGUAUCAAUCUUUUUUCAAAUCAGUAUUGCAGAAACUGCAGAAUUAAGCAGGGCCUACUAGAAAAUUUUACACCCAGGAAAAUUCUAAUUAUCCAGCUAAGCAUGUGGCUUUUUGCUUGUUUGUUUUUAAUUUUUAAGGUGUAUGGCAUAAUAUUCAUUUUUCAGAUUUUUAUCUGUCAGGUCAUUAACAAGCCUCUGACUAAACUCAUAUUUUGCAGACUUUCACCUAGCAGAGAUUUCAUCCUCACUGAUGAAUAAAGGCCUCUGUUUUAAGAGAGAACACAGAUUGCAAAAGAAGACUAUGGCCAGAAGAGAAAAUCCACAUACAUUCUGCAUUACCUGAAGCAAUACAUGAGCUGAAGUUUUUGUCACACGGCGCUAACCUAAUACGGAGGUAUUAGAAACAAACAAGAAAAAAAAAAAAAACAGAAAGAAAACCUAGAAAACUGCUUCGUAUCUUCACAAUAACAGAAUACUGAUACCGUACACAUACUUUGGGUUCUUUUCCUUCUGAGUAAUAAAAGGGAUGAAAAUAAUUUUGUGCACAUAAGAAGCUCUGUGAUACUUUAAACAGUUCUCAUUUUGCAUGUGACGAGACUAAAGAAAAACCUACUUUAUUCGACCAUGGGAAAACAAAUUCAGUGGCAUUCCUAGUGAGUAACACAACCUGCCUGAUGCUCACACUCACUGGUCUAAAAGUGAUAGCGAGACUUCAAGCUCAUACUGCUAGUACACCUUUUUUUCUUCUGUUCAUAGACCAUCUUUCUUACCCCACUUAAUUUUAAUUUAAAAAUGUCCACUUUGAUUCAUACAUGAAUUCUCAGUUUUAAGGAAUCGGUCAGUACCCGCCUAAGUUUGAUUAGGCUGAAUUAACAGUCCAGAUGGAUUAUUAUAUCAUGCUGGUGACCUGGUAUGUUUACAAGAAAGUAGCAGUGAUAUUUCAAUGGAAACCACAGCCUAGAAAGUCCCAGAUGAAGAGAACACCUGGAGAACAUUCAUUUGCAAUGUAAGUCUUUCAAGAAAAGAUUUCAUUUUAAUGUUUAGUUGCCUACAUGAUGAACUGUUAAUUUAAACAUGACAAGAAUAUUUAAAAAGUUAUUUUAGUUUCAGAAAUACUUAGUCUACCUUGAACACAAUGUAUUUGACUCUUUACUUACAGGGGCUAUUCCUGCUUGAAUUCAGCAUCAUCUGGCAUGUGGUUAACACUGUAUUCUCUGUAACUGUCAGUCACGGCAAACAGAAAGGGAGAAAGAGGAACAAGUAACGCAGAGGAACCCAAUGAAACCCUAAAAUCCUUCUAAAGGUACUCAGUAGCAGGCGCAGUGCUUACUGCCCACAGGUAUGAUUUUUAGAUGUUUAGCAAAUUGCACCCUUUAACAGUAAGCUACAAUAGAGAAAUAUGGGCUCCGUUUUCAUUCUACUUAUAGCAACGCUAUAAGAAAGGAUACUUCAAGUACUUACAUUUUAGACCCUGGAUUCUGAAAAAUUAGCAAAACUAAGCUGUUCAGUAGCUCAAUUUUACAGGACUUUCACAAUCUCACAUUUGCCAUCAGCAGAUACGAUAGUCUUCACCUGGAAAAGUGACUAGUACAACUAGCCAAUACAGCUGAGCGCCUUGGAACAUUCUCAAUAGCACAAUGCAUACUCGCACUUGUAAAUGAAAGUAAACUCUGGUUUUUCCACGGCGAAGAUGGUAACUUCAUAAGCCACAGAAGCUCAGCUACUUACUCUGUCUAUCCCACAGUUCUAUCAAAAUUCAGUGGCUGUACAGCAUUGGAAAACAUGGCAUACCCUUAGCUGUACUGCAGGAAAAAGGAGACUCCCUGCAACUACCAAUUCUAAGGUAGCUUUCUACAACCAGAGCCAAUUAAAUUAAGCCUUGAAUGAAUCAACAUAGCACAAGUUAAGAAGUUGCAAGCCAUGCAUGCAGAGACCUGCAUUUUCAAGGAACAAGAACUGGCAGAAUCAAGCACAAAGAUGCGUUUACAAUAAGCUGUACUCAUACUACAGUUUAUCUGCUCCAAAGAAGUUUAAAGUUCGAUAGCACCAGAGCAAAAGAGAAACACAAAUGCUUAUAGACUGCAGCAGGACAGUCUGAACUCUCACAGCAGCUUAUAAACCGAAAACACUGGUAGAACUUCCUGUUCAUUUACUUUGAAAAUAUAAAACAACCACAGUAUUUUAAGUCUACAGGGCGAACCAUUUUACAGCUUGUUACUUUCAACGUUGAAAUCUACCUACAUAUACCUCACAUAAGGAGACAGGGAUUACACGUAAAAAAAGUUUUCCAUGUCUUUCUCUUUUGAGAGAGAAAUAUUCAGAAUAUCCUUGGUUGCUUUCUAUAUCUCUCCCAUAACCUGUGUGAAGUUUAUUAACUCUUAUAUUUUGUAGUAUUUUAGUUUAGCUUAGGGAGAUUUGGGAAAAAAGCAACAUUCACAAUAAUACUAGCUUAAAAAAAAACCAAAGCACCAAACUUCAUUUUUUAAAACUGAGAACAGUUACAAUAUUACUCUUACAGGUCUCAAGCCGAACUGUAUUUAACUGUAACUAUACUUCAGUUUUGCAGAGUGCAUGCAGCUGUAGAGGUCGUGCUGUUUUCAAUAUUCUCAAUUCUCUCAAUUCUGAACAUAUCUGAAAAUCUAGAUGAUAAUCAGUUCUUUAUUUUACAAUCUACUGACUGUAAAAAAAAAAAAAAGUGUAUGAAUUCUGCAUCCUUCACAUGGAAAACUAAGCAUGAGCUGUCGCCAUAGGAGAUUCAGUGAAAACCAACAGUAUUAAGUUGGUAUAGGUUGCAGUGUCUGCUUUGCAUGGGAUUCCUAGCUGAAUGCUAAAUUCACAGAUCUCUUUAACAUUAUUAACACAUCAGACUUAAUACCAUUAGCCAACAUACUAACAUCAACCUACCUAGUUUAUAUAAACACAAGAAGCAAUUUAACCUUUAUUUGAGGUUUGUGUUUUUAAGAUGGUAUCUCAUUCUACCAACGUGUGUAAGGAGUUAGAAAGCAAAAUUCUUAAAGACUUUUACGUAUAGAAUACCAUUAAAAGCUGAUAGUGAAUUCACUAUAAGCAAGUGAAAAUUCAACGUCCCUUUGAUAUUCUGGUCAAAAACAUAUUCCUUUAUCUUGUUCUCCCCUCCUCUAACUGAAAGCCUCAACCGUGCUUUUUAAAGAACCACAGAAUGGCUUAGGUUAGAAGGGACCUUAGAGAGACCAUCCAGUCCCAACCCC